AAAAAAUUUUUGGGGGGGAAAAAAUGCCGGGAUGGUAACCUUGGAACCAGGGUUAUCCGCCUAAAACCUAGCCCGCUGGGCAAGGUGAAAAGUGGUUUGGGUUACCCUUUAGGAUGGACCCGGGGGCCUUAGUUAGUUGGGAGGUAAAGGCUCACCAAGACCGGGAAGCAUAGCCGACCUGAGAGGGUAUCGGCCACCCUGGGACUGAGACCCGGCCCAGAUUCCUACGGGAGGCAGCAGUAGGGAAUCUUCCACAAUGGACGAAGUCUGAUGGAGCAACGCCGCGUGAGUGAAGAAGGUUUUCGGAUCGUAAAACUCUGUUGUUGGAGAAGAACGUAUUUGAUAGUAACUGAUCAGGUAGUGACGGUAUCCAACCAGAAAGCCACGGCUAACUACGUGCCAGCAGCCGCGGUAAUACGUAGGUGGCAAGCGUUGUCCGGAUUUAUUGGGCGUAAAGCGAGCGCAGGCGGUUUCUUAAGUCUGAUGUGAAAGCCUUCGGCUCAACCGAAGAAGUGCAUCGGAAACUGGGAAACUUGAGUGCAGAAGAGGACAGUGGAACUCCAUGUGUAGCGGUGAAAUGCGUAGAUAUAUGGAAGAACACCAGUGGCGAAGGCGGCUGUCUGGUCUGUAACUGACGCUGAGGCUCGAAAGCAUGGGUAGCAAACAGGAUUAGAUACCCUGGUAGUCCAUGCCGUAAACGAUGAGUGCUAGGUGUUGGAGGGUUUCCGCCCUUCAGUGCCGCAGCUAACGCAUUAAGCACUCCGCCUGGGGAGUACGACCGCAAGGUUGAAACUCAAAGGAAUUGACGGGGGCCCGCACAAGCGGUGGAGCAUGUGGUUUAAUUCGAAGCAACGCGAAGAACCUUACCAGGUCUUGACAUCCUUUGACCACUCUAGAGAUAGAGCUUUCCCUUCGGGGACAAAGUGACAGGUGGUGCAUGGUUGUCGUCAGCUCGUGUCGUGAGAUGUUGGGUUAAGUCCCGCAACGAGCGCAACCCUUAUUACUAGUUGCCAGCAUUUAGUUGGGCACUCUAGUGAGACUGCCGGUGACAAACCGGAGGAAGGUGGGGACGACGUCAAAUCAUCAUGCCCCUUAUGACCUGGGCUACACACGUGCUACAAUGGAUGGUACAACGAGUCGCGAGACCGCGAGGUUUAGCUAAUCUCUUAAAACCAUUCUCAGUUCGGAUUGUAGGCUGCAACUCGCCUACAUGAAGCCGGAAUCGCUAGUAAUCGCGGAUCAGCAUGCCGCGGUGAAUACGUUCCCGGGCCUUGUACACACCGCCCGUCACACCAUGAGAGUUUGUAACACCCAAAGCCGGUGAGGUAACCUUCGGGAGCCAGCCGUCUAAGGUGGGACAGAUUUGAUUAGGGGGAAAGUCGUAACCAAGUGUGUAACGU
This 1400-nucleotide ribosomal RNA is filed under the name Latilactobacillus curvatus. RNAcentral describes it as "bacterial SSU rRNA". It matches the Rfam family "Bacterial small subunit ribosomal RNA". Lineage: Bacteria; Bacillati; Bacillota; Bacilli; Lactobacillales; Lactobacillaceae. The record is from RNAcentral.